UACGUAGGGUGCGAGCGUUAAUCGGAAUUACUGGGCGUAAAGCGUGCGCAGGCGGUUGGUUAAGUCUGAUGUGAAAGCCCCGGGCUCAACCUGGGAAUGGCAUUGGAAACUGGCUGGCUAGAGUGUGGCAGAGGGGGGUGGAAUUCCGCGUGUAGCAGUGAAAUGCGUAGAGAUGCGGAGGAACACCGGUGGCGAAGGCGGCUUCCUGGACCGACACUGACGCUGAGGCGCGAAAGCUAGGGGAGCAAACGGG
This 253-nucleotide ribosomal RNA is filed under the name uncultured bacterium. Its description in RNAcentral is "partial 16S ribosomal RNA". It matches the Rfam family "Bacterial small subunit ribosomal RNA", at positions 524 to 776 of the family's 1533-position model. The record is from RNAcentral.